This 253-nucleotide ribosomal RNA is filed under the name uncultured bacterium. RNAcentral describes it as "partial 16S ribosomal RNA". It matches the Rfam family "Bacterial small subunit ribosomal RNA", at positions 524 to 776 of the family's 1533-position model. The record is from RNAcentral.
UACGUAGGGUGCGAGCGUUAAUCGGAAUUACUGGGCGUAAAGCGUGCGCAGGCGGUUUUGUAAGACAGAGGUGAAAUCCCCGGGCUUAACCUGGGAACUGCCUUUGUGACUGCAAGGCUUGAGUGCGGCAGAGGGGGAUGGAAUUCCGCGUGUAGCAGUGAAAUGCGUAGAUAUGCGGAGGAACACCGAUGGCGAAGGCAAUCCCGUGGGCCUGCACUGACGCUCAUGCACGAAAGCGUGGGGAGCAAACAGG